GCGGGGGAAGGAAAAGCUCUCCUCUUGGGCCGAUUUCGCGGCCAUGCUCUUCUCCUUCAACGUUCGCCGCGUGAAUCGACUCCAGUUCUGGGCUUUCUGGGAGCCUGGUCGGUGAGUUGGGACACACGGUAGAGAACCUUAUAAAGGAUUGAUAGUCUGGUUGGAUUAUGCAUUGUGUGUUCUGUGGAUUCAUUCUCUGGCCUUCGUUUAACAUAUAUAUUUUUUUCGAUCGAUCGAUCGAUCGAUCGAUCGAGCUUCUUUUCCUCAACAGAUCAAAUCAACUUGACGAUCAAAAUUGACCAUUGUGAUGUCAAUAUUCUCCGGCCUUUAGUUGCAUGAUUUUUUUCGAUCAAUCGAGCUUUUCUUUUGGUCUUCCAA
This 378-nucleotide long non-coding RNA is filed under the name Musa acuminata (dwarf banana). Its description in RNAcentral is "long non-coding RNA (MACU_LNC004540)". The record is from RNAcentral. Lineage: Eukaryota; Viridiplantae; Streptophyta; Magnoliopsida; Zingiberales; Musaceae.